UGAGCAAUCUGCCCUUCUCAUCGGAAUAAGCGUUGGAAACGACGUCUAAUGCCGAAUACGACCUCCUUUCGCAUGAUCGGAGGUGGAAAGCUCCGGCGGAGAAGGAUGAGCUCGCGGCCUAUCGGCUAGUUGGUGUGGGUAAUGGCCUACCAAGGCGACGACGGGUGGCCGGCCUGAGAGGGUGACCGGCCACACUGGGACUGAGACACGGCCCAGACUCCUACGGGAGGNAGCG
This 235-nucleotide ribosomal RNA is filed under the name uncultured bacterium. Its description in RNAcentral is "partial 16S ribosomal RNA". It matches the Rfam family "Bacterial small subunit ribosomal RNA", at positions 118 to 353 of the family's 1533-position model. The record is from RNAcentral.